Molecule: long non-coding RNA, 1782 nt
Organism: Balaenoptera acutorostrata (minke whale)
Lineage: Eukaryota; Metazoa; Chordata; Mammalia; Artiodactyla; Balaenopteridae
Exons: 6
Source: RefSeq, a predicted model, not a curated record
GCGAGGUUGCGUAUCUCUAGUUGGAGCGACUAUCUUUUAUCCGGAGGGUUGGUUUUGUUUCCUACUUCAGCCUAUUUCUCGGACCCGCGCCUUUUUGAGAGAUUCCCUUCCUCCUUUGCCCCCUUUUCGGGCCACAUCAGGCGGGAGGCUUCCAGAAAGUCGACAAGUCAUCUUUAGGUGCAAAGGAGUCAGACUUCAGGAAGACCAACUCAAAUAUUUGGCAUUUAAAGGAAUUUCAAGUUUUUAAAAGAAAGUAAUGCUUCUAGGGGCUUCCCUGGUGGCUCAGUGAUUAAGAAUCCGCCUACCAAUGCAGGGGACAUGGGUUCGAGCCCUGGUCCUGGGAAGAUCCCACAUGCUGCAGAGCAACUAAGCCCAUGCGCCACAACUACUGAGCCCAUGAGCCACAACUACUGGAGCCUGCGCGCCUGGAGCCCGUCGUCUGCAGCAAGAGAAGCCACCACGGUCUUUGAAUUCUGCAGGGGACAUUUGGGAAAACUUUCCACCUAUGAAUUUUCCUUGUUCCAUUGGUCCAGCUUGCAGUGUUGCGCGUCUUGAACGACAAGACACAUCAAACGAGUUGAGAAAGGCUGCGAUUUUCUUGAUGCUGCUGGUGAUGACGUCAGUGUACUCCCGGCUCGCCCAGUCCUGAUGCUGAGACCAACAUUGACAACAAGCCCACAUCAACACAGGGAAUUUCUGAAGAAAGGGAGGUGAUGAUAUCAUGUAGACUGCCGAAGAGUUUCUCAAGAACCUGACUUUCCAGAAACAUGUGAACUGGAGAAGCACCAGGAAAUCCCCACAGUGAAAAACAUUAAAAGAAAGGAUGAGAGAAUCCACUAUGCAAGGAAACCCUUCGGAUGUGAGGAGUGUGGGAGAUACUUCAUCUUUUUUUCUUACUAUAUUCGACACCAGAGAGUCCACACUGGAGAGAAACUCUAUCCACAUGAGGAGUGUGGGAAAUCCUUCAAUGGCAAUUCUUCAUUAAUUCAGCAUCAGAGAAUCCACACUGGAGAGAAACCCUAUCAGUGUGAGGGGUGUGGAAGAGCCUUUAAUAACAGUGAAAGUCUGAUCAGGCAUCAGAGAGUCCACAGUGGGGACAGACCCAAUCUCUGCAAGAGGUGUGGAAAUGGCUUCCCCAGUAGUUCUGAACCUUGUUAUACAUCACAGAAUCCAGACGAGAGAGAAACCCUAUGAAUGUAAUGAGUGCGGCAAAGCUUUUGCUGUUAAGUCAACAUUAAGUCGGCAUCAGAGAAUCCACAGUGGAGAAAAACCAUAUGGGUGUAGCAAGUGUGGGAAAACAUUUAGGACUUCCUCCCAGCUACAUCAUCUUGGGUAUGCCCACCCUAGAAAGAAGCCUGUCCUGGACCUUGGUUCUUUUGGCCUCCCAGCAUUUUUUACCCCAUUUUCAUGGUAAUUACUGCCCUACUUUUUGGGAAAAUACCACUCUGCCCCAACACAACAGUUCAUGUGGUUUGGGUGAGGCUCUAUUCCCUACUGCAAAGGUGGAACAUGUAGCCUAGUCUGGCCCAUCUGUACUGUUCCUUCCACCCACCACAAUGGUGGGUUCAGGCGACCCAAAUUCAUCCAAUCAGAAUGGACCCUUUGACUGUGCAAAACCUACCACGAAGUGACAUUCUUUUCUGCUGGACGUGGAUGUUAGCCUUGACCCACGUGAAGGCUGAGAAGAAAGCCAGCCCUGCAAACAGAGAUGGAGAGAACUAAACUUGCCUCUGGAUUUUUCAGUGAUGUAAAUCAAAAAAUUAAAUUCUUUGCUUAAAUAGU